AAGUCGUAACAAGGUUUCCGUAGGUGAACCGUGCGGAAGGAUCAUUAAAGAGAGGGACGUUCGCGUUCCGGGGGCUUCGGCCCCAUCCUCUUCACCCCGUGUUUGACCUUACCCACAUUCGUUUGCUUUGGCAGGCCUUGGGGUCGUGCUCAUGCCGCCCCGGGGGGAUGUCCCCCGGGGGGUCGAGCGCCUGCCGAAAAGCCCAUUUAACUUCUUGAAUCAACCAUGUUGUCUGAGUGAAAACAAAAAUUCAAGCAAAAAG
This 262-nucleotide unclassified non-coding RNA is filed under the name plant metagenome. Its description in RNAcentral is "partial contains small subunit ribosomal RNA and internal transcribed spacer 1". The stretch from base 1 to 47 matches the Rfam family "Eukaryotic small subunit ribosomal RNA", at positions 1786 to 1831 of the family's 1831-position model. The record is from RNAcentral.